UUUGUUUUUUCUUUUCAUUCACUCAUUAGUAGUAAAAUUUUGAUACCUGAUCGAAGGAAUCGCUCUCUCGCAUGACACGAUCAGAGAUUUUGUUAAUUUCGAAAGUUGGAUAUUUUACUGCUCGAAAAAGUCAAAGAAACAGGGGUUGGAAGAAUAAAGCAGAAGAGGGGUUAUAAAUAUCGAUGGAUGUACACGGAUGAAAAUGGAAAAAAUACUGCUGAUGCGUGCCUUAUUGCUUACAAAGAUCCUUAUUCAGCUCACUUUGCCAGUAGUUUUUUCAAUGGUGCACCUAUAGUAGGUAUGCUUUUUGAGAAGAUAGAAUAAGACACUGAUGCACAUGAUAAGAACGUUGAGGGAUAAGGAGAAGAAAAAGGAAUAGAAUGGUAAAACUAAUGCAUAGUAUAGGGAGGAUCGUGUAAUGUACAUAUAUGCUAUCAUACAUUUAAAACCACACAUUCAAUUUGUUGACUCUAUAUUUGAAGAGAUUAUUAUGCAAUGGCUUAAAUUUUGAA
Molecule: long non-coding RNA, 512 nt
Organism: Trifolium pratense (red clover)
Lineage: Eukaryota; Viridiplantae; Streptophyta; Magnoliopsida; Fabales; Fabaceae
Exons: 4
Source: RefSeq, a predicted model, not a curated record